UGUUUGUCUGUGUGUGUUGAUAGCUGGUGUCAUCAGACGGCUCCCACUCAGAUGGAUGUUCAGUGGCAGAGAGUCAGUCCGAGCGGCCGCCGUCUCACGAGAGAAGCCAAGGCAUUGGCGAUUCCAGACCCCCGUCUUUCCAUCCUAAGGCUGCAGGCAGCCGGCACGGUGUGGCUGAUGAGACGGAGACUGAUUCGGUCGUGUCACACAGGAGGGAGAGAGACAGAUCGCGCAGGAAACACUCACAUGAGCACUCUGGAGGAAGGCUUAAUGGCUACUCACGGGGCGGCAAAGGCAUGGAUCUGGGAGGGUAUGACAUCUGUGACAGCCGUUCUUCCCUCAUGAGCAGUGAACUGGAAUCAAGCAGCUGUUUUGACUCGGAUGACGGCUCCAC
Sinocyclocheilus rhinocerous is the source of this 394-nucleotide long non-coding RNA. RefSeq lists it as uncharacterized. The record is from RefSeq and is a predicted model, not a curated record. NCBI's taxonomy places the organism in Eukaryota, Metazoa, Chordata, Actinopteri, Cypriniformes, Cyprinidae. The transcript has 3 exons.